GACGAACGCUGGCGGCGUGCUUAACACAUGCAAGUCGAACGGAAAGGCCCUGCUUUUGUGGGGUGCUCGAGUGGCGAACGGGUGAGUAACACGUGAGUAACCUGCCCUUGACUUUGGGAUAACUUCAGGAAACUGGGGCUAAUACCGGAUAGGAGCUCCUGCUGCAUGGUGGGGGUUGGAAAGUUUCGGCGGUUGGGGAUGGACUCGCGGCUUAUCAGCUUGUUGGUGGGGUAGUGGCUUACCAAGGCUUUGACGGGUAGCCGGCCUGAGAGGGUGACCGGCCACAUUGGGACUGAGAUACGGCCCAGACUCCUACGGGAGGCAGAAGUGGGGAAUAUUGCACAAUGGGCUGAAGCCUGAUGCAGCAACGCCGCGUGCGGGAUGACGGCCUUCGGGUUGUAAACCGCUUUCGCCUGUGACGAAGCGUGAGUGACGGUAACGGGUAAAGAAGCACCGGCUAACUACGUG
RNAcentral lists this ribosomal RNA (468 nucleotides) under uncultured bacterium. Its description in RNAcentral is "partial 16S ribosomal RNA". It matches the Rfam family "Bacterial small subunit ribosomal RNA", at positions 28 to 507 of the family's 1533-position model. The record is from RNAcentral.